This is a non-coding RNA of Equus caballus (horse), 244 nucleotides long. Lineage: Eukaryota; Metazoa; Chordata; Mammalia; Perissodactyla; Equidae. The record is from RefSeq and is a predicted model, not a curated record.
AGAAACCAACCCUGAUGGCACCUUGAUCUUGGACUUUUGACCUCCAGAACGAAGAAAGGAAAAAGUCCAGUCUUUCAAAAGAAAGGUCUAAGCAAAGGAGAAAGAAAAAAUCACCUAAAAGAAAACACAAGGAGUAUUCUGAAGAUAGUGACAGUGACUCUGAUUCUCGAACAGACUCCAGCGGAACAUUAGCCCUGAGCUGACAUCUAUGCCAAUCUUCCUCCAUUUUCCGUGUGGGUUGCAC